GACGAACGCUGGCGGCGUGCCUAAUACAUGCAAGUUGAGCGCUGAAGGUUGGUACUUGUACCAACUGGAUGAGCAGCGAACGGGUGAGUAACGCGUGGGGAAUCUGCCUUUGAGCGGGGGACAACAUUUGGAAACGAAUGCUAAUACCGCAUAAAAACUUUAAACACAAGUUUUAAGUUUGAAAGAUGCAAUUGCAUCACUCAAAGAUGAUCCCGCGUUGUAUUAGCUAGUUGGUGAGGUAAAGGCUCACCAAGGCGAUGAUACAUAGCCGACCUGAGAGGGUGAUCGGCCACAUUGGGACUGGGACACGGCCCAAACUCCUACGGGAGGCAGCAGUAGGGAAUCUUCGGCGAUGGGCGAAAGUCUGACCGAGCAACGCCGCGUGAGUGAAGAAGGUUUUCGGAUCGUAAAACUCUGUUGGUAGAGAAGAACGUUGGUGAGAGUGGAAAGCUCAUCAAGUGACGGUAACUACCCAGAAAGGGACGGCUAACUACGUG
Molecule: ribosomal RNA, 497 nt
Filed under: uncultured bacterium
Lineage: Bacteria
Description: partial 16S ribosomal RNA
Rfam family: Bacterial small subunit ribosomal RNA
Source: RNAcentral